RNAcentral lists this transfer RNA (74 nucleotides) under Burkholderia pseudomallei. Its description in RNAcentral is "tRNA-Ala(cgc)". It matches the Rfam family "tRNA". Rfam says of the family: Transfer RNA (tRNA) molecules are approximately 80 nucleotides in length. Their secondary structure includes four short double-helical elements and three loops (D, anti-codon, and T loops). Lineage: Bacteria; Pseudomonadati; Pseudomonadota; Betaproteobacteria; Burkholderiales; Burkholderiaceae. The record is from RNAcentral.
GGGGGGAUAGCUCAGAUGGGAGAGCGCGGCGUUCGCAACGCCAAGGUCGGGAGUUCGACCAUCCUUCCUCCACC